GCCUGGGUGGCGAAAUUGGUAGACGCAGUUGAUUCAAAAUCAACCGCCUUCGGGUGUGUCGGUUCGAGUCCGACCCUAGGCACCA
Molecule: transfer RNA, 85 nt
Filed under: Pasteurella multocida
Lineage: Bacteria; Pseudomonadati; Pseudomonadota; Gammaproteobacteria; Pasteurellales; Pasteurellaceae
Also listed under: 4 other names
Description: tRNA-Leu(caa)
Rfam family: tRNA
About the family: Transfer RNA (tRNA) molecules are approximately 80 nucleotides in length.
Source: RNAcentral